This 445-nucleotide ribosomal RNA is filed under the name uncultured bacterium. RNAcentral's name for it is "bacterial SSU rRNA". It matches the Rfam family "Bacterial small subunit ribosomal RNA", at positions 28 to 456 of the family's 1533-position model. The record is from RNAcentral.
GACGAACGCUGGCGGCGUGCUUAACACAUGCAAGUCGAACGUGAUUUUUGUGGAAAUUCUUUCGGGAAUGGAAAUGAAAUGAAAGUGGCGAACGGGUGAGUAACACGUGAGCAACCUACCUUACACAGGGGGAUAGCCGUUGGAAACGACGAUUAAUACCGCAUGAGACCACAGAAUCGCAUGAUAUAGGGGUCAAAGAUUUAUCGGUGUAAGAAGGGCUCGCGUCUGAUUAGCUAGUUGGAAGGGUAAAGGCCUACCAAGGCGACGAUCAGUAGCCGGUCUGAGAGGAUGAACGGCCACAUUGGAACUGAGACACGGUCCAAACUCCUACGGGAGGCAGCAGUGGGGAAUAUUGCACAAUGGGGGGAACCCUGAUGCAGCGACGCCGCGUGAGCGAAGAAGGUUUUCGAAUCGUAAAGCUCUGUCCUANGAGAAGAUAANGACG